CCAGAGAACUUAGCAGAGAUGCUUUGGUGCCUUCGGGAACUCUGAGACAGGUGCUGCAUGGCUGUCGUCAGCUCGUGUUGUGAAAUGUGGGUUAAGUCCCGCAACGAGCGCAACCCUUAUCCUUUGUUGCCAGCGGUCCGGCCGGGAACUCAAAGGAGACUGCCAGUGAUAAACUGGAGGAAGGUGGGGAUGACGUCAAGUCAUCAUGGCCCUUACGAGUAGGGCUACACACGUGCUACAAUGGCGCAUACAAAGAGAAGCGACCUCGCGAGAGCAAGCGGACCUCAUAAAGUGCGUCGUAGUCCGGAUUGGAGUCUGCAACUCGACUCCAUGAAGUCGGAAUCGCUAGUAAUCGUAGAUCAGAAUGCUACGGUGAAUACGUUCCCGGGCCUUGUACACACCGCCCGUCACACCAUGGGAGUGGGUUGCAAAAGAAGUAGGUAGCUUAACCUUCGGGAGGGCGCUUACCACUUUGUGAUUCAUGACUGGGGUGAAGUCGUAACAAGGUAGGCGUACGUGU
This 520-nucleotide ribosomal RNA is filed under the name uncultured bacterium. RNAcentral describes it as "bacterial SSU rRNA". It matches the Rfam family "Bacterial small subunit ribosomal RNA", at positions 988 to 1509 of the family's 1533-position model. The record is from RNAcentral.